GGGGGGGGGAGCUAUUGCUAUUGUCGGGGUCGCCUUCGUUCUCAGGUAUGACCAAGAGGGAGUUCGUUAAUCAUUGAGGAAAUGUGGAUACUUCACUUUUCUGUUCAGUUUCCAUCUUUGUAAUGUAAUGGCAACACCCUGCCCCAAACCAUGGAGACGUGCCAUAGGAAACGAAUGGAGCAUCGUGGAACUCGGACACGGCCCGAAGCCUCAAUGUCACCACCAGACAGAAGCUGGAAGGACCAAAGUAGCUCCUGGGGGAGGUCCCUGGCCUCACGUUAAGACUGGAGGCAGUGUUUGGGACGCCUGGAGAGGCAGAUCCUUCAUGCUGGGAGUCUCAGGUCCAAGAGUGCCAGGGGUCGGAGCUGACCCUCUGAGAGCCCUGCCUGUUAGACCUUGACUCGGAACUGAUCUCGGCCCUUUCCUGCUUCAGCCUAGUUCCAUCCUCCUGCAGGUGUUCGCCCAGUGCUCAAGGAACUGAAUAUCGGGAAUGCCUGACCCGGGAAGGAGUGCCCAGGAGGCCUGGGGAAUUCUGACUCUGCCGGUUGAACGAGUAGCUGGCAGCUCUCCAGCUAACAACCCCCCAUACACUCCCAUCCCACAGCUCAUUGGUGUUAAUCAUCAAAUCAGAGGCCUUGGAGAUCUUUGAGGCCAACCCCCCCCCCAUUUUAGAGAUAGGGAACUGAGGUUCAGAAGAGCCAAGUGAUUUUCCCAAGGUCCCAUGGGGAUUAUGAGGAGCGGCAGCAUUGGAAUGGAGGUGCUGUGCCUCCAUUCGUCAUCCCCCUUGCUCCUUACAGUUCACAAAUCCAUCUCAUGACAAUUCCUUUGUGAGGCAGGAAGCUCAGCUCUUUCCCUCAUUGACUGAUCAACCAAUGAGGAUAUUCAGGCUGAAGGGGGGAAAGUCCCACCACAAUCAUACUAGGAAGGAAGGGUCAGAGCAAAUCCUGAUGGAGGAAAUCUAAGAAAAGGGCACAGUGAGUCACGUUUCCAGCCAAGACUGGCACUGGAAGACAGGUCUUCAGACACGGAGGGCCAGGUCUGGCCAAGAGGGGUUAUGGGCAACCCUGCAGGGCAAGGAGAAGCUAUGCAAGAAGAGGCACCAGAGCCAUACUAAGGCCCAGAAAUGGGAACGAGUAUCAACUGGCAGCAUGGUCACCCACUGUUUAUUCCAGAUCACAAAUACAAGUAGACUGAGGAAGAAAUCUGUGCCCAGAGGUGGCACUCAGCUGCGGGGUAAGAGCAGUCUUUGCCCUAGCAUCAAGUCCAGAAGUCAGGAGGCAAGGCGGAAGGAUGAGGAAACAAAAAAAAGAACCCCGCCAUAAAAAGCUAUUAUGGUGUCGGAGACACUCAAGUCACAAACUUAGAAGGCGAGAAUGACUCCCAAACAUCUACAAGCAAAGGAAAAUAGAGUGUGGGCACAAAUUCAGCUAAAAUCCAGGAAAUCAUUGAAAUUAAAUUUUAGAAAGAGUAGAAAAUAUUUUUAUAAGUAGAAUGAGAAAUCUUAAGGAAAAUACUGAAAAAGAAAUGAGAGACACAGGAGAAAAAAAUGGAUGGGGAAUUAAAAGUUUGGCACCAGUAGUAUAAAACUUUGCCCAGGCAACAAACUCCUGAAAAUAGAAUGAACCACAUAGAAGCCAUUGACUCGAUGAAGUAAUAAGAAAUAUUAAAACAGUUUUAAAAGACUAAAAAUAUUGGAGAAAAUGUAAACUAUCUCAUAGCAAAAAUAACUGACCUUGAAAACAGUCCCAAGAGAGAGAAUCUGAGAACCACAGAUUACCUGGAAGUCAUGACCAAAAAAAACCCCAUGUAUCCUAUUUCAAGAAGUCAUAAAAGAAAUUUGCCCAGAUCUCUUAGAACCGGGUGGCAAAGUAGAAAUAGCAAGAAUCCACUGGUCAUUUUUUGAGAGAAACCUCCAAAUGAAAACCCUCAGGAAUAUCAUUGCCAGAAUCCAGAACUCCUAUCCCAAAUAAAGAAAAUGCUGCAAGCACCCUGAAAGAAAGGAUUUAAGUAAUGAAAGCCAUAAUCACUCAUGAUCUGGCAGCUACCACGAUCCUGGAGCAGAGAGCUUGGAAUAUAAUAUUCCAGAAGGCAAAGAACAUGGAUUUACCACCCAGAAUCAUUUGCCCAGAAAAACUUAGUAUAAUCUUUCAGGGAGGGGAAGAAAAAGAUCUUUAAUGACGCAGAGGGCUUCCAGGCCCGCCUGAUAAAAAGACCAGAGCCAAGGAGAAACUGUGAAGUUCAAACACAGCUAUGAAAAGAAACAAAGAAGUAAACAUGAAUAAACAGUGAUAAAGAUUAAACAAGGAUCAGCUGCUUCGUUCUAAUUUUGGGAAGGGAGUCCCUUCUGAGACCUCUCAUCAUCAGCGGUCAUAGGAAAAGACUAAUUAAACAAGAGAGGUUCUGUUAUGUCUUGGUUGAGGAGAAGGGAAGAAGAAGGUUAGGGGAAAUUAUAUCACAUAAGGAGCAUAUAUACAUAGACAUCUAUAGAAACAAGAAGUGAGGGGGUGGGGAGGGACUGAAAUUUGAACCUCCCUCUUAUCUGAACUGGUCAAAGGAAGAAAGAACACACACACACACACACACACACACACCCACCAUGGGGGACAGAAAUAUAAUUUUAAAAAUAUAAUAAACAUUUAUAUAACACUUAUUAUGUGCCAGGCACUGUGCUGAAUGCUUCCCAAAUAGCAUUCACUUGAUCCUCACAACACCCCUAGGAGGUAGGUGCUAUUAUGAUUCCCC
Long non-coding RNA from Sarcophilus harrisii (Tasmanian devil), 2742 nucleotides. NCBI's taxonomy places the organism in Eukaryota, Metazoa, Chordata, Mammalia, Dasyuromorphia, Dasyuridae. The record is from Ensembl.